CCUGGCAGAGCCCGUCCAGAAAAGAGAAACUGUGAGGAUCCUGAGCCUGCCCGUCCAGGAACCCAAAUUGCAGAGCAUCUGCUACAGUUUUGGCUGGGGCAGCAUCCAACCUGGGGGACUCAGGGACCCUACUGAUCUGUGAUGGUAUGCUUCAAGGAAUCACGUCCUGGGGCCACAUCCCAUGUCGCUGCCCCACUACGCCUGCUGUCUACACCAAAGUGAUGCCCUACGUGCAGUGGAGAAAGAGACCGUAUUGGCCAACAGUUGAAUGCUCCUGCCUUCCCCCUCCCCUUACUCAAAUCAAAUACACAUGAAAAUCUGGCAUCCUCUGGCUUUUCCAGAUGUGGAGGACCCACCCAGCCUGUGUCCCGAAGGGGAAGGGUGUGGGAAACAGAACACUACAAUGACCAGAGGCGCAUAUUCAUUCAGGCUCCAAGAUCUGAGAGAACUCGAGAUGGAGAUUGUAAGGUUAAAAACGACCUGAGAGGACCUGAGUGAAUCAGCCCUUGGGAAACGUGGUCUGUUCUUUAGUACGCACAUAAGGAUGUUUUGCUCAAAGGAAGCCAGCUGUAUAUGGCACAGUGCGUUCACUCCCGUCUUUGUCUUUGCUUCUGUCGUAAAGAUUCUUAUCAGAACGUACGUAUCUGCUCUCCUACGCAAGAUACGUACAAUAGCUGAAUCAGAUGUACAUUGUGGACAUGCUUUGCUAAGUUUCUGUUAAUCAUUGCUGAUCUGUUUUUCCUGAGAACGUAUAUAAGAAGAUGUACAACAAACCUUGGGGCCUCCGGCUGUUGGCUCGGGGUCCCCUGUGCCUCGCUA
Herpailurus yagouaroundi (jaguarundi) is the source of this 819-nucleotide long non-coding RNA. RefSeq lists it as uncharacterized. The record is from RefSeq and is a predicted model, not a curated record. NCBI's taxonomy places the organism in Eukaryota, Metazoa, Chordata, Mammalia, Carnivora, Felidae. The transcript has 2 exons.